Molecule: long non-coding RNA, 710 nt
Organism: Dunckerocampus dactyliophorus (ringed pipefish)
Lineage: Eukaryota; Metazoa; Chordata; Actinopteri; Syngnathiformes; Syngnathidae
Exons: 3
Source: RefSeq, a predicted model, not a curated record
CAUUAGAACUUUUCCGCAACCUACUUUUACAACUUUAUUGUUUUGUUUUUCAUAUUACCUUCAUCUAUUUUCUUCAAAUGACAUUAUUUGAUGCCUUAUAACAUUACCAUAUGGGCCGCACGGUGGCGUAGCGGUUGGCAUGUUGGCCACACAGUCAGGAGAUCUGGAAGAUUGGGUUCGUAUCUCCGCCUGGGCGUCUCUGUGUAGUUUGCACGUUCUCCCCGUGCAUGCGUGGGUUUUCUACGGGCACUCCGGCUUCCAAAAGCAUACAUGUGAGGUUAACUGGAGACUCUAAAUCAGGGGUGUCCACACCUUUUCCAGCGAGGGCCACAUAAUGAAAAACGAAGGGAUGCAACUUCGCCACUUUGGUAUUUAGCAAAGCAACACAUGGAGAUAUGCUAAGAAGCUAAGUCAGCAAAACAAGACAUUCACACACGUCUAGCGCAACCUGCAGCGGAAAAAAAGGGUGCUGCAGCUAUGAAGCCAGCAGAGGGCGCCGUCUCACGAGUCAAUCCGCUCAACGUUUUCCAGCAGGAAGAGUAUGUGGCUCUCGGUGGAAAAAGUAUGGACACCCCUGGUUCAGAGUAUCAAAACCGCGGGCGGUCUCGGACGGUAACCCUCCAAAAGUCCGACGGAAGCAGUCCAACAUUUUGCUGACAAUCUUUCCAGAAGAAUGAAAAAGAGGAUAUCAACUCCAUACUUCUCACUUU